Pelobates cultripes (western spadefoot toad) is the source of this 285-nucleotide non-coding RNA. The record is from the annotation of a GenBank genome assembly. NCBI's taxonomy places the organism in Eukaryota, Metazoa, Chordata, Amphibia, Anura, Pelobatidae.
AAAUUUGGGAACCUUGUGUAACGGAUCGCCUGGCACCCCGACUGGGUACCUCCGUUAAAGGAUGCUCCUAGCGCUUCCUGAGGACUCCAAGCACUGCAGCAGACACCACAACCACCGAACCGGAGAAGCAUAUGAAUCCUCUCAAGCAUAUGAAUGCUGUAGACAGUUGAAUAGGAACCAUACGAAUAGGUUUACUCUCCUAGCAGUCAAACUGGAACAGCAUACAAUAAAUCCUUCCCCCAAUAAUGAGACGACACUUCACUUUGAGGGUUAAAACAGGAACUC